UAAGUAGGCGGUGGAAAAUGAACCAAAUGGGAUUCCUUAAGUAAUUGCGAAUGAACAAGGAAUUGCUCAGCUUGAAAAUUGGGGCCUUCGGCCUUGAAUUGUAAUUUUGAAAUGUAUUGCCAAUGGAGGCGCAGGUGCAAGCCUAUUGAAAGAAAGCGUCAAUGAGGGUGAGAUUCCUUUUUGUCAUUUGCAGUCCUCCGUGCACGGUGUAUAUUUGACGAGUCACACUCCUCGGCAUUGGAAUGCAAAGUGGGUGGUAAAUUCCAUGUAAAGGAAAAUAUAUUAUUGAGACUGAUAGCAAACAAGUACCAUGAGGGAAAUAUGAAAAGGACUUUGAAAAGAGAAUUAAAAGAGUCUGCAUUUGCUGAACAGAAAGCAAACAGAAUUGAUCUACUUGGUGAGAUUGUUGCGUCCACUUGUGGGCGCAAUGGUUCUUGCCUUGGAUGUCAGCGUCUAUUUCUGCAAAUCAUUACCCUUGCACAUGAAUGGUAAUUUGCCUGUGGGCAUUGGAAUGCAUGUGUUUGCAAUGAUUUGUGUUUUGAUACAUGUGUCUGGCGUUCGUGUGUGUGCCUUCUUGCCAACAGGGGAGGGCUCUCCUCCCUGGGCACUGCCAAGCCCUUGCAC
RNAcentral lists this ribosomal RNA (624 nucleotides) under Alexandrium ostenfeldii. RNAcentral's name for it is "LSU rRNA". It matches the Rfam family "Eukaryotic large subunit ribosomal RNA", at positions 43 to 612 of the family's 3401-position model. The record is from RNAcentral. Lineage: Eukaryota; Dinophyceae; Gonyaulacales; Pyrocystaceae.